Oncorhynchus keta (chum salmon) is the source of this 573-nucleotide long non-coding RNA. RefSeq lists it as uncharacterized. Lineage: Eukaryota; Metazoa; Chordata; Actinopteri; Salmoniformes; Salmonidae. The transcript is spliced from 3 exons. The record is from RefSeq and is a predicted model, not a curated record.
UAAUUUGACGCUUUAUUUUAACAGAUCAAACUCAAAUCAUUUUGAGGGUAAUUUUAUUAAAUGAGAAGGGAAAUAAUAACUCAUGUAGUCAGAACAGGUGUGUUGGUUUAGCUUUUAGCCGCUACGCUAGUCUCUUCUAGACCAGCAGGUGUGUUGGUUUAGCUUUUAGCCGCUACGCUAGUCUCUUCUAGACCAGCAGGUGUGUUGGUUUAGCUUUUAGCCGCUACGCUAGUCUCUUCUAGACCAGCAGGUGUGUUGGUUUAGCUUUUAGCCGCUACGCUAGUCUCUUCUCUUUGGAAGACCUGCACACGGUACAGGCAGUCAGAACAGGUGUGUGUGUGUGUGUGUGUGUGUGUGUGUGUGUGUGUGUGUGUGUGUGUGUAGACAAGAAGCAGGACAUUAAGUUGGUUGAUGUCAGCCCAGGUGUAACUGCCUAUCUAGACCGGCAGGUGUGUUUUCAGAAGGCUUUGAACAGCUGGUUGGGCAGGUACCCCAGAUGCAGGAAGGAGGUCUGAGCUUCUCUCUCCAGAUUGGCCAGCUCCUGAACUGUAGGAGCCAACGCAGCCACAUGAC